Molecule: ribosomal RNA, 262 nt
Filed under: uncultured bacterium
Lineage: Bacteria
Description: partial 16S ribosomal RNA
Rfam family: Bacterial small subunit ribosomal RNA
Source: RNAcentral
UUAGUGGCGGACGGGUGAGUAACGCGUGGGCAACCUGCCUUACACAGGGGGAUAACACUUAGAAAUAGGUGCUAAAACCGCAUAAGCGCACAGCUUCGCAUGAAGCGGUGUGAAAAACUCCGGUGGUGUAAGAUGGACCCGCGUCUGAUUAGCUUGUUGGCGGGGUAACGGCCCACCAAGGCGACGAUCAGUAGCCGGCCUGAGAGGGCGGACGGCCACACUGGGACUGAGACACGGCCCAGACUCCUACGGGAGGCAGCAG